RNAcentral lists this long non-coding RNA (39902 nucleotides) under Citrus sinensis (sweet orange). Its description in RNAcentral is "long non-coding RNA (CSIN_LNC000638)". The record is from RNAcentral. Lineage: Eukaryota; Viridiplantae; Streptophyta; Magnoliopsida; Sapindales; Rutaceae.
UUGCUUGUUGUUUAAUUAACAAUUAUGUUGAGCUUGCUAUAUAUGCGCGUUUGUAGGAAGAAAUCAAUAAAGAGUUUGAAGAGAAGAAGCCUGAGCUCCAACCUAAAGUGGUCGAAAUCUAUGAAGCUUCUUCAGCUGAAAUCAAGGUCUCUACAUGAAUGAACAUACCAAAUCUGUUAUAGCUACAAAUGUCAGAGAGAAUUAAAAAGAUCCAAUUCAUGCAAGUUUUUAUUUAUUAAUUUAACCUUUUUUUUUUUUUUUGGCUUUGGCUUUGGCGUUUAAAUGAAAAUACAGACCCUGGUCAAGGAUCGCAAGGAGGAUGGACUUAAGAAGCACUCCACUGCUGUGCACAAGUUACUUGAAGAACUCGUUAAAAUCGGUAAAAUAGUUCUAUCACAUAUGGUAUUAUUAAUUAAAGUUAAGGUCAUGUGUUAAAAUCACAUGAGAAUUUUAUUAACAUAUAUGUAUGUGUGUAUAUACAGAGUUUCCAGGAUCAAAAGCAGUAAGUGAAGCAUCGUCAAAGUUUGGGGCAGCCUCUGUUCCGGGGCCAGUUUUCUUCAUAUUUGAGAAGGUCUCAACGUUUAUUGUUACUGAAGAAAAAGCAGCAGAGCCAGCAACCGCGGCAGCAGGAGAAGAAACAAAACCAGAACAAGAGACAACAAGUAGUAGUACCGCCGCAGUCACAGAGAAGGACGACGUAGUUGUUGAGGAAGAGAAGAAAGAAGAGGCCCCCGCCGGCCCUGAGAAAACUGAGCCGGCAGAAGCCGCCGCCGCCCCAGCCCCAACUGAGCCUCUUCCUGCCGCCGCCAAGGAGGACCAACCAGCUGCUGCAGAGCCACCAAAGCCUUGAGAACAUGCAUCAACUGACAAGACAAAUUCAUAUCCAUAUAUACAUAGAUAUAUAUUUCAUAUUCAUCAAGUGAAAGUGAAGUAAUAAUGUUAAUAUUUUGUGUACGUAAAAGUCUUGUAAAAUGCAAAACAUGAUUUGUUAUUCUUUCUUUUUCCUCUAUAUGCGCAUGUAUAUCACCUACUUGUUUUUUUUUCCCUUGUAUUAUUUUGUUUUACAGUCUUUAUUUUUACUUUCUUUAUUAUUAUUAUUUUUUGUAUUUGUGAAUUAUUAUUAUUUGUAAUAUUUAAUUUUUACAAUACAGGGAUUAAUGUGGUGGGUGGAGAUACCCUUAACGCUUUAGUUGCUUUCAUUGAUUUGAUUGUAUGUGUUUUCCUCAUGGAGAUCAUUUAAAAAGAGAUAGGCAAAAAAAAAAAGAAAAAAGAAUAUUGAUGAUGAGAAGUUAUUUGUUUAUAAUUAAUAAUUCCAAGCUCCCUCUUUCUCGCUAUUUAAUUUAUAAGUGUGUAAUGUGCUCUCUUGACCUACACUUGUGUGUUUCAUUUAUAUAAAUGGGUUGGUGAGGGAAAGAAUUAAAUGUGACUAAUAACGCAAAAAAUAAAUAAUACUUGGGUUUUACAGGGAUGAUUAUUUGUUUACCUUUACAUUGAAGAACUAAAACGAUAUAAUAAUAAUUAUGCAAUGAAGAGGGUCAAAGAUUUUUCUUCUCUUGUGCUUGAAAAUUUCCUUGUCAUUCGUUCUUCUUUUGUUGGUUUCUCUUAUCCUCAUGAAUGGAAAUUUUUUCUCAUUAUUUUUCCUCUCAAUAGCCUACUAGUACUUGUUUUUUUUUUUUCUGAAGCUAAAUUCCAUCACUAAGAUUGUUGAUAAACAAUUAGUAACGACCAAUUAUGAUACUACUUUUGGUCUUUGGUGUGCAACUAUACAUGCACAUAGAUGGAAAAACCUGUAACUCCAUGCUCAUAUAUAUGAUGCAAACGCUAAUUUGGAAUUUUUUUUUUUAUAUAAAGAAAGUCAUUGUUAAAAUUAAUGUUUUUUAAUAAAAAAAAUUAUUAGGUACUUCAUUUCUAGAAUAUGUCCCUAUUGAUUUUAUUUUUUAUUUGAAAUCCAUCUUUUUCUCAAAUGUUUAUUUCAAUCUCUUAAAUCCACGUUUCAUAUGAUGUGAUCCGUUAGUAUCUUUUUUUAAUCUCAAUAUCUUGUCUAUUACCUAAUAAUCUAAACUUUUAAAUCAAGCAACAUCCUAAUUAUAAAUUUUCAAAAUCCUAUCUGCAAGAAGAAAAGUAAUCAUCGAACAGCUCUAAAAUAAUAAUUUUCCAUUUCUUGUUUAUUGUGACUUACACAGCACAGGACAGGCCAAUGGCCACCAUAAAAAUAAAUAAAUAAAUGACAUAAAAAUACAUGAAAUUCAUUUUUCUAUGCUCUCUUACAAUUUGAUGAAAUCAGAAACUGGGCCGUCCAAAACGGGAAACAGGCCCAGAUGAGACAUCUGGGUAAGAAACUGAGCCCAAAGAAGUUUACAAACGUAGAGCUCAACUCAAAAUAAACGCAGCCUCGCAGAAAAUUUUGGUUGCUCUGUUCAAUUUUCACCGACCAUGUAAACGUGAUUCUUCUGCUAUCACUCUUGUUGUUGCUGGUAAGGUAACUGAAGAAAAGGGUUUAGGGUUCAUCUAUUUUUUUCUAAUUAUUUGGUGUCGCACUUUUGCAUUAUUAUUUUUUGUUUGUUCUAAUAGAUACAAUUUCAAUUUUGUAGCAAUUUUUUUUUUCAGUUUUCAUCAAAAUAGAAGAAAGGGAACUUUAAUUUUUCAAGACUAUUUCUGAAAUAAAUGCAUUUUGGGACUUGAUUUGAUGCUAACUGAAAAAUUCGUUUAAAAGGUGGAAUCUUUAACUGGCACUGGUUAUGAAAUUCUGAGUUCUUAUUUGAAUGUGUUGAAGAAAAACUCUUAGGUCAAUGGUCUCCUUACUGUUUUUGCUGACUUAUUUCACGUUUAUGGAGUCUCAUUUAUGCUCCGCAAUUCUUUUAUUUUUGGUCUUUAUUUCUUGCUUUCAUUGUUGCAUUCCGCUUUAAUGACUAUGAUUCUUGGUGAUUAUUAAACCCUUUUUUCUCAUAUCAGAUGGAACCAAUGAGUGGAUUGAAUCAGGACCUGGGAAACGUGGGGCUAGGAAAGGCUGAAGGUGACACUGUAGAAGUGGAGGGUUUAAACAAAACUAUUGAUGAUAUAUUGCAGAAAGUUACUCAGGUGACACUCUUUGACGGCAUAAAAACUAUUAGCGACUUACAUUUUUGUAAAAGAUAACAUUUUCCUUUUGCUGUGUGUUAUAAGUUAUAUUUUUGCAAACCCUUAACUAUUCUCUGUCUACCAUUUUGGGUUUGCCCUAUGCUAGAUGAAAUGGUGAAUCAAAGUCUAUAUUUAAUUGAUAUGAAUAAAUUUGGCAUUGGGAUCCUAAUCAUGCUUUUGGCAGAAUUGAUUUGUCUAGAGAUAUAGCUGUGUUUGUGAAUGGAGCUUUUCAUUGUUUGGCUUGUUGACUUUUGAUUAAGCUUCUGUAAACUUCUUAUUUGCUAGUAUCUAUUCAUCUUGACAUUAAUGUUUUCUUUCCAGCUUGAGCAAAAACUGAAUGAUGUUGAGCAGUUCUACCUGACUAAGGAUAAUAAUCAACCAAACACUUCGAAAAGUAUCUCAAUUGCGAAGGAAAAAUUGAAGGAUAGACAUGUUGCUAGCAUUGAGAAGCAGCAGCAAGAUGCAUUUCAUAGGGAAGAAGCUGCUGGAAGGAGGAUGCAAGAACUUAAGCGCCAGUUUGCUGCAAUUUUUCGUCAGGCAAGCACGAAGCUUUGUGAGUUUUGGUCAUUGUUUUUUAGUUUUUUAACUACUUAUGUAUGCUUUUGAGUCAGUUUUGAUACAUAUUUCAAAAGUUGAGGUCAACUAAAUUUUUUUCAGAAAAAUUUAAAUUAGUGUUUUCUUCAAAUAAAUCUUACUUGCUAACUAAGAAUUAUACUUGUGGGUAGUAUUCUUCGUUUAUGAUAUGCUUUGGGUUCAAAUGGCUAUGCAAUCAUUUCUCACGGUUAUUCCCCAUUCUUUAAUGUCACAGAUCACUCAGCACAAGUGGGCAUGGCCUUUUAUGCAUCCUGUUGAUGUUGAAGGUCUUGGUUUGCAUGACUACUAUGAGGUUAGGCAUAUUGCUUCCUUAGCUUUCUGAUUGUCUUUCUGUAUGGUCAUCAGUUGACCCAGAAUGUAUCCUAAUCCUUGGCCUAAUUCGUCUAAUGAUGAUUGAUUCUGAUUCUUAUUAUUUUAUGUUGUUUUCAUUUGCACCCAACUAUUAAUUGUUGUCCCUGGAAAAUUUUGAAAAUUUUAAGUGAUUCGUUGGAAAGACUUGGUGCUAGUUUACUAUUUUUAAUUCUUUUAGAUGAAAACUAAAUGAAGACGAUUGAAAUGGUAUCCGCAUCUUGAAUUUGUGUCUGGUUGUAGAAUUCAGCAUUGAUUAGUGGAUCUCUCAUUGAUAGCCUUGCAGCUAUCUUUUACUCAUGUUGGAUCCAUGUUUAAUCUUUUCUUUCCCCUUUUUUAUAUAUGAUGUCAAUUAAUAUGUUUUAUGUUUCAUAUACCAGGUUAUUGAGAAGCCCAUGGACUUUAGUACAAUAAAGAAUAAGAUGGAUGGUAAGGAUGGUACUGGGUACAGGAAUGUGAGGGAGAUAUAUGCUGAUGUUAGAUUGGUAUUUAAGAAUGCAAUGAAAUACAAUGACGAAAGAGAUGAUGUCCAUGUAAUGGCAAAAUCACUGUUGGAAAAAUUUGAAGAAAAGUGGCUGCAGCUUUUGCCUAAAGUAAUGGAAGAGGUUAGUCAAUUCUCCAAUAUGAAAUUUCCUUUGUCAAAUUGACUUAAACAAGGACUUUUUUGAUGUCUGGUAACAGUCCUUUAGCUAGGAAAACUUCCAUGCUUUCUGUUUCUAAAUUUUAGCAGCUUGUGAUGGCUUCCAUACUUGUACUUACAGGAGAAAAGACAAGAGGAGGAGGAAGCGAAGGCACAACUUGAUAUGCAACUCACUCAGGAGGCUGUCCAGACGAACAAAGCUAAGGAAUUAAGAAGUGAAGUAUGACAUUCCAUUCAAUAUGCCUUUUAAAUUGCAUAAAACAAAUUUAUUAUUUGAAAGUCAGCGUCUUAAGAUUGUAUGAACUAACUGUUGAACUUGAAUUAAAAUAUUUUCUUGUCAAACUUUUGGCCUUGAACAACAUGAAUUUAAUCUGUUUUCCUCCUUAAGAUGUCUUUGACAUGCAUCUAUUUUUUUAUCAUAUAUGUUCUAGCUAGCUGCAUGCAUCUAUUUUUAUCAUACAUGUUCUAGCUACAAGUUAGUUGUACGUCAGGGUAUGUUUUGAUGCGUGUCUGUAACAAUGUAUAUCUGAACUGUUCUCAGCUUAAUGAAGUUGAUAUGCAACUCGAGAACCUCAGAGAAACAGUGAUUCAGAAGUGCAGGUUGGUAUAGCAACCCUAUUUUACUGCAACUUUUACAGUCAAAUUGUACUGAUCCAAAUAUCAUGGAGAUUGCAGCACCUGCAUGUGAUCUAAAUAUAUACUUUUUCUUCAUUUAUAUUCUCGUUUAUGACUAAGAAACUUUUUGACUGAGGUUGAGAGUUAGCUUUGGCAGUUGUAGCUGGUGUGGUUUAGGAGUGUCAAUUGAGAUCUUGAAUUAUGGUUCGAUGAUUGUUAUAACAUAGAGCUAGUACAUGAGUGUAGAAGGAGAAACAAAAAUGAAGGGACUCAAAAGAGUAAUGGAAAGCUUUAGACCUUGUUUAUGUGAUCUAACUGUUUAAGUAUUUUAAUCUGGGGCAGAAAAUGAGAACCUUCGGCAACCAAAAUGCUCUGGUAUCCCAGAUAUUCCAGUAUCCAUAUUGCUAAAAAUGUAAAAUCUGUAUUUAAAUGUGGUUUUGAGAGAGAGAGAGAGAGUCCUGGAUUGCAUUUCAGAUCGUAAUGUGGUAAGUUGGAAUGAAAUAGUGGUGGCUAUCAUUUAUCAAAGAACUAGUUUAAACAGAACGAGUCCAUAAACUUUUAAUGGGUGUUCAUAAAUUUUAGAACAUCUUUUUGGCAGUUGUGCUUGCUUGCAUGCUCUAUUUGUGUCUGUUGAAGUUGAUUGUUGUGCUCAUACAUUUUAUCAAUGUGGACUGUGUGCAUUGUUUCAGAAAAAUGUCGACUGAAGAGAAGAAAAAUCUUGGGACAGCUCUCACCAGAUUGUCCCCUGAAGAUCUUUGUAAGGCACUGGAGAUAGUUGCUGAGAAUAAUCCAAGCUUUCAUGCAACUGCUCAAGAAGUGGACCUGGACAUGGAUGCUCAGGUCCAUAUUUUAUGUUGGAUUCGUUUAUCAUCUGAUAUUGUCUGUCCUUUCUUUCAUUUCUUGUCAAGUUAUUCGGUAAUUUUCAGGCAACUGAGAUCUAUCCUUUUAUUUUCUACCAUUUUCCAAAAUCAAUGCAGAGUGAAUUAACAUUAUGGCGGCUAAAGGUUUUCGUACAAGAAUCACUGAAAGCUGCAAGUAGGAGUUCUGGGGACAUGGGUGGCAACAACAAUAAUAACAAUGAUGACAACAACAAUGAGAAGGACAACAGCAACAAAAAGAACAAAAACAAUCCCAAACGAAAAAAAGAGAUUUGUGAUGCUCUUGCAAAGCCUGCUGUGAAAAGGACUAAGAAGCUCCCACCUAAUACAUGAGCCACUUGUCUGUCAGCAGUGCAGUUUCUAAUGGUUCGUCCCAGUGCUGAAUGUUUAAGAAACAUAUUUUUGCAAAUUCCCGAAAGUUAUACAUUGUAAUUUUGUAAAUUCCCGAGUGGUGUAUAGCCCUUGAGCAAAUUUAUAAUUUCAGUCUUCUUCAGAUUCACCCCUUAUUGAACCUAACUUCAUUUACAUUUAUUGUUUUCAGCUUCUUUGCCAAAGAAUGUAAUGUAUGCAUGCAAUUUUGUGUUCUAUUAAAUAUGUUUCCUCACAUUUGGGUUAUAUGAUCAACUACUGCCAAUUGUUCUGAUAACCAUACAUACAUAUAAAAGAAUAAAUGAGAAGUUGGCUGUUAAAUAUAAUACCACUAGUUUGAAAAUUAAACAUCCAAGCUUGCUUCAUCUCUCCCUUAAAAGGAGAUAAUGGAUAACUAUCGGUGAAUUUUUCGACUGAAAUCUCAUGAGAAUACCAAUUAUAUUGACUUUAUUUACAAUAAUAUUGAAACUUUUGCCCACGCAGUAAUCGCAAGAAACUAAGAUUGAAGUUAAAUUACCACUAACCUUUAAAACAAUAAUAUUUCCACUGAGAUGUAAGAAGUUUAGAGCAAACUUUAAGUGACAAAAUCAAUGCUGUUGAGGUCAUUGUAAUCCAGUAAGUAGUAAUCCACUAAAACAAUCGCACAUUUGCUUCCCACAAUACCAGCAUUUUUAUCCAAGACUGAAAGAACCAUAUGAAUACUGGGCAGGAAGACAGACCAUAUCAAAACUCCAGAACUUAUGUACACAGCUUUCUCCCUCAUCCAUAUAUCAAUUGUUAUUGCUGCUGGCACUUCUCCGAAAUGAUAGUCGAUGAACUUGUGAAAGCAGCGUGUCCAUUACCCCUACAGGAGCUGCUUUGUUUGGUACAAUAUCCUUUGCAUCCAUUUGAAUAUCAAAAUCACGCCAGAACUUAAUGAUGUGGAGAUUCUCUUCUUCUGUUGAUCUUUGGACGACAAUCCUAGCAGCAUAACCCUUCUCCAUCAUUUGGAGGCAUAUCUGUGAAGGAUCAUUGGCGGUAAGAGUGACCAAGUAUAACCAGCCCCUUUUUGACAAAAGUUUGUCAGCACUGGGCAAAAUCUUAUCAAUAACAGCCCGGCCAUUCUCCCCUCCAGCCCAAGCAGAUGCAAUUCCUUCACGACCUACUUCAUCUUCAGGAGUGGGCACAUAUGGUGGAUUCACAACCAUUACAUCAACCAACCCUGCCAGACGCUUUUCUAGUCCUGAUGCAAUGUCAGUGUUUAUCAAGUCUGCAUGAACAUUAUGUGCUUCUAGUGUCUUACGGGUCACUUCCACUGCAUAAGGGUUGAUAUCAGUGGCAAUAUAUUGGACGCCAGGAACUUCUUGCCCAAGCAUUAAAGCUAGAGAAGUGAUAACAUAUCCACUACCACAACCCACUUCCAUACACAAUACCGGAUGAUGCUCUACCAAGUUAAUUCGAUCUGCUAGGAGAGCAUCAACUAGUGCAAAUGAAUCAUCACAUGGUUCAUAAACCUCAGGAUGUGAGCUCACAAGACGAAUUUGAGCAGUUCUUAAGGACAUCUUCUCGGAACCUGACAGAAGUGGUGGAUUGUGUAAUGAUCAACGACAAGUUGGACCUGGACAGAAAUAUAAGUAUCUAAUUACAUUUUGAAAACCUGAAAUGAUAUUUGACAUGACAAAUUUUGAACUAUAGAUAUAACUAAGGAUGUAAAUAUAGCAUAGGAAUAUAUAUAUCCAAAAGAAGUUAAUACUGUCAAUAGCUUAACAAUGGCCUCAGUUUCUGGAAGCAUCAGGCACGCUUCGCUUCCUGAAUCAAAGAACAUAAACAAGAACAAAACCAAAAAUAAAGCUUAAUAAUUGAAACAUUUAUAACAUGAGAACUCAAAAAUAAGAGGACGCAAAAUGUACUAUCUACCUCAAAUAAACAGAAUAUAUAAACUGAAGUGAAAUUGAAAUGGAGCUUCAAUCUUCAAAAUCCAAAAAACAUUAAGUGACCUAGCAUCCCCGAAGUUGUUUCUGGCAUCAUCCAAGAUAUCCCAGAUAAUAGAGCACAAAAUUUACAGUAUAAUCAGUUAUGGGAACUCGCUGCGGAAAUUUCUCAAACAAUCGGCGUGCAGCAAUAUGUAACAAAUUACACGAACCUCUAGAUUUGAAGACGUUACCUCCGUCGUUGCUUUGCAUAGUGGUUCAAUGGCUCAGUGCGUCUUUUGGUCUCUGUUUGCGGGCAGACACAACGGCCCAAACGGAACCAAAAACCACAAAUGCCCUCGUCUAUUUCAAGCUUUUUUUCUCUCUCUCUAAAUUUAAUUUAAUAUGGUUUAUUAGGUUUUUAUUUGUGAGUAAGCUAUGCAAAAAAAUCAACUUAUUUAUUAAUCACAAUUGAAACAUGAGUUAAAAAUGUACAUGUGUCAAAUAAUUAUCUAAAGAUUAGGAAAGUCUGAGGGUGGCACUUUUUUUUGUGUCUGAAACUUGAUUUAGUUUAAAUCUUUAAUAUAAGUGAAUGUCUGAAUCUGAAUGAUAUGUUUAUUUUUUUAUUUGAAUUGUUAAAAAUAAAUAUUAAGUUAUUUUUUUAACUUAAAAAAUUUAAAAACUAAUAUUUUUAUAUUUGUGCUCUUACAAAUUAUAAAUGUUAAACAAAUAAUAAACAUGUAAACAUAUUAAAUAACAUAAUAUAAUUAUCAUAACAUGAUUAAAUAAUAAACAUAUUAAACAAGAUAAUAUAUUAUCAUAACAUAAAUCAUGUUCAAUUGAAUACAACCAUUUAUAUUCUGAAUUAGUACAUGUUCAUCAAUUUUAUUGUAAUUCAUGAUGUUUUUAUAUGAAAAAUAUUCAUAAAAAAUAUGAAGAUAAAUAAUGCUAAUUUGAAGAAAUAAAAAUAUAAAAAUAAUAACAUUCUACCAAUAUAUUAUCACAAGUUAUAGUGAUGGAUAAUAAUGUUAAUUAUUAAAUUUUGUUUAGGUAUGGAUUAGAAUUGAUUAAUUAGAUAGGGAUAUUUUUUAGAAUAGUUUUUAAUGACAUCAUUCAGGCUUUUUAGAUUACGUAAAAAGUUAAAAAGAAUUGACUUAAUAAGUUAAUGACUGAAAAUUUUCAUUAAAUUAAAAAAUAGACAGACUUAAUGACUUAACUAAUUAAAAUUAAAGUAGAUUAAGUCAUUAAAUAAAAAAUACAAAAACAACUCUUAAGAAAAGAUACUAAUAAUUCCAAUUUAUUACUUAUUUGGGUUCAACCCCUCUAUUCUUAAUUAUUUCGGGGAUCAAUUAGAAGGAAUUUAUGCGUGAUAAUCAAUAUAGUUCAUGAGAUUCUUUUUAAUUAAUUGUUUUUUUUUUUUAAUUAUUGACUAAGGCUUUGGAGGAUCACCAAUAGUUCAGAUUUAGAAGAAUAAAAAGUGUGUUCUGAAUACAUCAAUUGUGAUCAGAGAGAGAAAGAGAGAUUGAUAGGCAUAGACUUACAUGGGCACAUGGCUGUAGGUGAUUAAUAUAAGCAACCCAUUCAAACGUAGUACAUUUAAUAAUUGAUAGUCACGUCUUGUGGCAAAAUUUUGUGUUCAUGAAAUUUGCUCGAAAACUAUUUUACAUCGGUUUAGUAGUCCAAUGCAAAUGAAAGCAACAUCAAAUCAUAUGGCGAUCACACUAUUUAAUGAUCACUCAAUAAUGGAGAUUGAAGACCACCACCAGUGCCCAUCAUUCCAUUACGGUUUAUACUUUAUAGUACGUUUUUUUCUGUUCGGUGUCGCAAAUGACUGUAACACCCCUCAAAUCUAAUUGCCUCAACAAUACAACACCAAGUUUUGUAUUUAAAUUCUCUCCUUUCAGCAUAUAACAAGGGCAGAAAAACAAAACAAUAAAACAAAAACCAAAAAGAAACUCAAAAGCUACAGCAUUAGGUUGCUAUCAAGUGCUUCUGUUGUGUGUAACACUGCAGAAUUUGCACCACUAGAUUAAUAUGAUCUUGUUAAGAAUAUUUUGAUGAUCAUUACUUAUUGCAUUUGAAAUGUAUUUGGUUUUUGAGCUUGGGCAAGCAUUUGAACAACUUCUCUCAUGGUGGGUCUCUCCACGCCGUGUUCUUGAACACAUAGCAUAGCAACAAAGAACACUUGCAUUGCUUCACUGAGAGGAGUAUUACUCAAUCUUUGAUCAAGUAUCUUCACCACUCCUUCUUUGCUUGAGUUUGUUUGCAUUUUGGUCCAUUGAACAAUGUCUAGCCCUUCUUCCCCAAAAUCACCCACUGGCCUUCUCCCUGUUAUCAGCUCUAACAGUACCACCCCAAAACUGUACACAUCACUUUUCUCAUCAACUUUCAAUGUGUACGCAUACUCUGUUAAGUUAAAAAAAACAAGUACAAAUUAUUAACUAAAUUUAAGUCAUAUUAUAUAAAUUAAUACUGGUUCGAGUAGUGCGACAAAUCACAUCUUAUCUGAAUUUACGGUAUCAUAUGCUUCAAAAGGGGUAAAUGAGACUAUUUCAUUGUGGUUGACUGGUGAGAUUUGAAUGAAAUGCUCGCUGUGUGUAUGAGCAAUGCACCAUGCUUUGGCAAAGGGGAACUAGGGAGGAUCAACUCAAUUCCCCAGGUAAAGUAACAGGAAAAAGAAAAGGUGGUUGUGGCUUUGUGCCUUUGGCUGUAUUCUAUAUAGACAAGAAUCUUUUUCUAGGGCUCAGUAAAAGUAAACCUUUGAUCCUAAUCAGCAUUGUUAGAUAGAGUAUGUAUGCUUUGGAUUCAUGUGUAUCUUUUUAUUGUUAUAACUGGUUUUUGGGUCAAAAGGUCACUAGUUAUUGGUUUGAAUCUGAAUGAAAAUUGGGUUUAUGGUUUAGCUAAAGCCUUGUUUGUGGUAGGACAACAGAGAAAAAGUAAAAGGUGAAUUGUCCUGUGUGUUAGAGGAGCCUUUGCCCUUCUUGGACUUCACAUGGCUCUGCUGAUACUACUUUAGUCCAAGAAAAGGAAAAGUAUAUUCUUCAAUAUUUGGACAUGAUAAUGUUUGGAAUCAAUGAUUCAAUGUUUUCCUAGCUUGGGAGACAGACUCAUUUCAUGUUUUUAACGUAAGUCAAAAGCUUAAUGCUAGCUACAAUUGCUUUUGGUCGCAGCACAAUGAUGUGGCUACAAGCAUCAUUAAUUUUUGGACUGUGCAUUAAGGAAUUGCUUUCAAAUUAUCUAGGAGAAAGAGUAAGUGUACCUGGAGCAAUAUAGCCAUAAGAUCCAGCAACUGCAGACAUGCAUUCUGAUGCUCCGGUGUCUUGCAAGUACUUAGCCAGCCCAAAAUCUGCUACAUGAGCCUCAAAAUCUGAGUUGAGUAGAAUGUUAUUUGACUUGACAUCUCUAUGGAUUAUGAGAGGAGAACAGUCAUGGUGUAAAUAAGACAGGCCUUUGGCAGCUUCAAUGGCUAUUUUUAGCCUCAUUUCCCACUUCAAAAAACUCCCUCUCUUGCCAUGCAGAACUUCACCUAAGCUUCCAUUUGGCAUGUACUCAUAAACAAGUAAAUUUGUUUCUUUAUUGGAGCAAAAUGCCUUCAACCUCACAAUGUUUCUGUGCCUAAUCUUACCCAGUGUCCGAAUUUCUGCAGACAGGCCAUUGUCAUGAGAAGAACCUUUUGUUAUGCCUAAUAAUUUCUUCACAGCUACUUGCUCUCCAUUUGGCGUAACUCCUCUGUACACAACUCCAGCUCCACCUCUGCCUAUCACAUUGUUGUCUUUUACACAUUCCAGGAUGUCAUCACUUCCAAAAUCGAGCUUCUGGAAUGCCGUGAGCUUCCAUGAAUUUGAAUUUUUCCGAAACUUUCGAGUCUUGAUGAUUGCUAAAACAGCAAAUACUAAUGAACAUAACAAAAGUCCCAAAGCAAAAAGAAGCUUAUAUUUUCCCGGGACAUGAGACUUGUUGCCAUUUUGGUUGUGUAUCGGGGUAGUUGAUGAAUAGUUGCAUGGAUUCAAGUAAGAUCCACAGAGGUGAGGGUUACCGGUAAAGGAUGUGGAGUUAAAGAAUGAAUAUUGUCCAAACUCAGGAAUUUCACCAGAGAAAUUAUUGUGGGAAAAAUCAGCUGAAGUUAGGCUCUUCAUGUUUCCCAUUUCCUUGGGCAGGCUUGCAUUCAAUUGGUUCCAAGAAACAUUGAGAUAAUUCAAUAUGUGAAUUUGAGUAAUUUGAACUGGGAUUGGGCCUGAGAGAUGGUUUUGGCUCAAGUCUAAAUAAGUAAGCAAGAGACAAUGACCAAUCUCGACAGGAAUGAUGCCAGAAAAGUUGUUCCUACUCAUAUCCAAAUGUAGCACAUUUUUAAGCUGCCCAAUUUGAGAUGGAAUCUCUCCUGUUAAUUUGUUCCCACUGAGUAGAAAAAUCUGCAGGCUAGAGAAAUUUCCAAUAGAAGUAGGAAGGGGCCCUGUUAGCCGAUUGUUUGAAAGAUUCAAUCGGCUAAGCUUUGAGGGCAAUACCUUGCCUGUUUCUGCCGGUACGCUUCCAGUGAGAUAAUUAUUCUGCAGCUCCAACAGUGAGAGUUCUGGCAAAUAAAGUAGCCCAUAUGGUAUGGAUCCUGUCAAAUAAUUCUGCCAGAUCCGAACUUUAACUAGAGUUUCACACUGGGCAAGAUCAGCAGGCAGAGGACCAAACAAGAAAUUGUUGAACAAAAUCAAAAUCAACAGCUGCCUUCCGAAACACAAAGAUUUAGGGACUAAUCCUGUGAGCUUAUUUGUGGACAGAUCGAGUACUUUCAGCCUACCGUUUGCUCCAAGCUUUGAAGGAAUAGGCCCAGUAAAAUUAUUCUGCCAAAGCUGUAAAACUUCCAAAUUAUCUAGCUCUGCAAUGAAACGGGGAAUCUCCCCAUGGAACCUGUUGAUAUUUAGCUGCAAGAGGGUGAGCUGUCGAAGCCCCGAAAGCUCAAGUGGAAUUUCUCCGGUAAGGCUGUUUUUCGAAAGAUCAAGAGUUCUCAGGCUACUCAAAUUGCCCAGUUGAGGAGGAAUAGAACCGGUGAGCUCGUUUACUUGCAAGAACAGGGUGUCCAGCUUGUUUAGAUUGCCUAAUUCAGGGGGUACCGAACCCUCCAAGCUGCAGUUUGCGAGGUCUAGAUGAACAAGACUGGUCAACUUGCCAAAUUCAGCUGGGAUUCCGCCAUCAAAGUCAUUGAAAUAGCCCAAGAAAAGCUGCUCGAGUGUAGUGAGGUUUCCAAGCUCACCAGGUAUGAUACCAUUCAAAUCAUUUCCCCCGAGAUGGAGAUAUAAAAGCUGCUCAAAGUCACCAUAGUUUGGAGGAAUUUUCCCAGAGAAAUAAUUCCCUCCUAAAUGCAAAUGCUGCAGCUUUGAAAGUUGAGAAAGACCUAAUGGCAGUGAACCGUUGAACUCGUUGUUAUAAGCAUCCAGCACCACAAGCUCUUUCAACUGAGAGAAAUCCCAGUUUAAUUCUCCACUGAGCAUGUUGUUCGACACAUUCAAGACCUGAAGCCUUGUCAGCCGAUGCAUGUCCCUGGGGAGCUCGCCAGAAAAGCCGUUAUCGGAGACUGAAAGAUAGACCAGACUGCGGAGUUGAGUGAUCGCAGGUGCAAGAGAACCGGAGAUAUUGAAACUGGAUAUAUCAAGAGAAACAACUGACGUAUUCGCGAUAUCAUCACAUUUGAUGCCUGGCCAAGAACAGAGAGACAUGAAAUUGGAUACAUUCCAGGACUCAAGAGAAGGGUCAUACGACUCAAACCCUCGUUUGAGCGAAACAAGGAUUGAAGCUUGCGCUUUGAGAGACAGAUUACGUGAGGAAAGUGAAUGGGAUGAUGAAGAGAAGAGAACGAGAAGUAGAGAAGAGAGAAGUACUAUGACUCUCACGACAUCCAUUGAAAGAUUAUUUUUUUUGGCUUAGAGAAAGACGGUAUUGGAGAAACCAACCCCUUUAUUUAGAUUGGAGAAGAUUAUCAUGCAGAUAGAUGCAGUAACAUCAACGAAUAUACAAAGAGAUAAUAAAGAGAGAGUGAUGAAAGAUGAAAUGAAUGUAAAGAUAAAGCUUCCCCCACAUUAACAGCAUCCAAGGUCAUGUUUGCUCGUUGGUGCUUGCUUGCUUGCUUCAGUAUUUUAUAUUUUAUUUAAUUUAUUUUUUUCUGGAUAGCUUUUGCUUUAUAAAAGGAAAAGCAAAAGCAAACGUUUGCAUAAAGAGGUGCGCUGCAACAGAUCGUUUUAUCAAAACCAAUAUCUAGUAGAAUUUCCAUCACCUUUUUUAGCCAAGUUUAUAACUGAGUGGGUUUUUUUUUUUUUUCGCCCCCUCUUCUCUCUCUCUUUCUUGAUUAUCGAAAAUAUGUUGAUUCCAUUUAGGAUUAGUUUCAGUAUUAGUUGCUUCAAUGUUUAGUAUAUUUUGAAAAUGCAAUGGCAGGUAAUAUCUCUCUUUUAAGUUUUUUAACUUGAAGCAGAAAAUCAUUUGAAUUUUUAAUUUCCUUGCUCAUGCAUUAAUACAAUUUUGAACAUCAACAAAAGUUUUUAAGUUAUCGACAAAAGCAGUCCAAUCACACCUUUCACAUUUCAUUUUUAAUUAAAAAGAAAAAAAAAAUUCCACCUACAACUUUGCUGCAAAAUGACCAUCAUUUUCUAGUCUUUUUGUAGAGCGGCAGCCAGCGCCAGCCCAGCCUAGCCUAGCCAACUUAUUCUAACUAAGCCAUACAAAAAUGUGUACUUUGACUUAGUAAACUGUGUAUUAACCUUUAUCUUUCGAGUUUAAUAACGACGAUCAAAUAGGAAUAAUAUCAACAUUGGGGACCCAAAUCACCCUUUGAAUCCUUCUUUUUUUUAAUUUAGAUGAUGGAAUAUUUGAAAAUACACACAUAUAAUAAUAAAUCUAGGUAUUGGGACCAAUUUUCUUUUGCUGUUCGCAUAAAGAGCCCGCCCCCCAUACUCUAUACUUUCCAGAAAGAAGAGAAAAAAAGGAAAAAAGGAAAGUACGUUGGUUGAAUUCUGGGGAUGUUGGGAUUCAUAACUUCAACUUUACUCCUGCUAUAUAUAUAUUAUGAUCUCUCCCCCGUCCCCGUGUGAUGGACCCAUACAUGCUGGAGCUGUAAAAUGAAGAUCGAUAAUGUUAUCAUUGCACGAGAAAAUAAUAACAUCACUCGUCAAAAUAAUCAAUAAUUGUUUUGAGGCCAACCCAUAUCGAUAUCGUGAAUUAAGAGUGCAUCAUUGUUCGGAAAGCAUGUGGUUGCCCCCAUCAUCAUUGGGGAGGGGGGGGUCUCUUCUUCUUCUUCUUCCAAUUCGCGCCUGAAAACAAGGACAUGCAUAGAUAUUGUUGAUGAUUCUGCAAGUCAAAGACUACACAUAAUAUUUUCCUCAUAUAUGUAACAUAAUAUUAUAUUAUUAUAUCUCAUAGGAUGGAUAGCCAUGAAUCAUUUUUUUUUUAAAAAGAGCACAAUAGUGGGUCCUAGAAGAAGUGCUUUAAAUUGAUGCAUGAGUAUAACAUAUAUAUACGGGAAUUAAUUAACAUGUAAUUAAACUUAUUAUAUACGUAUAUGUAUAAACGCGCACACACACACACUCAUCAAUUGUUUCUAGCCCACGUAGGGCUGCUUGUUAAUUUGUAUAGCUAUAUGUGUACACACACACACUCAGCACAUUUUGAUGAUAUGUGAUGGUCCUUGUUGCCUUAUCAUUUUCAUGAUCACAUCGCAGGAAUCCCGACCCUAGCUAGUCUCUCUUUUAGACUUAUAAAUAAUGUUACGCCCCUGUGAACAAUGUGAUCAUUAUUGGACAGCUCACAAAAUAAAUAUGGUAUGCCAAAUUUAUUAGGGAAACAUUGAUUAAUUAGUUCAUAUAUACAUAUCCACAUUUCUCUCGUCGAUUUUCACUACUGCAUGCCUGAGCUGAUCAUCAUGAGAUAUGGGAGGGAGCCAGGGUUUUGCUUCCCUUUUUUUAUUUUUUUUUCUUUUAACAGCUAGCUAGGAUAAUUAUGAACUGGAUCAAGAGCCUCAUCAUUUGAAUGAAGUACUUGGAAAAACUAAUACUAUAGAUAUAGUUUGAAUGUGUAAUUAUUCAUCUUUGCUGUUGUAAUUAUUUAGAUAUGUGCCGAGUAUAAAUCUGAGGCACAUAAAGUUAUUGCCUUUUGCAAUUUGCUCGGAGAAUACAAUAAUUCAUCUGGGGUUUUUCUGACGUGGAUGGUGAGAUUGUUCCUAUUUGCUAGCCAGCUAGCGGCAAGGAAAUUAAAUAUAAAAUCAAAUCAAAUCAAAUAAAAUUACUGGUGACAUGGAUAACACAUUUUGAUACAUAAAACCAACUUACACAUGACGAAUGCUUGACAUAAUUUCUUGUACAACUAAAAGAUUAAUUCCCCAAUUUUAUGUACUUAUAUGACGUGUUGAAGACUCACUGAAAGCCCAAAAUUUCAUGUCACCAUUACCAAAGCAGCAUAUAUCCCAAAAUUUUUAUCUCUAAGAAUAUGAUGUCGUCGUACUAUUUACUAUAUUAUCACAAGUGUUGUCUUGGCACAUUAGAAUAGUACUUAGUGUUAUAUAAUUUUUUUUUGAAAUUAGUGUUGUAUAUAAACUACGAAUGCAUUAGUUUCGAAAAAAAAAAGAAAAAAAGAAAAAGAAAUUAUAGAUGAAUUAAUAUUGUGUACUCUUGAAUUUUUUUCAUCUUUCGCUAGAUAAAAGUGAAUUAUCAUUAAUAUCAUUUAUUCUCUCAAAAAAUGAGAGUGCAUUAUUUGUCAAUAAAGGGUCGACGUCUGCCAUUCUCAGUAACGAAGUAAUUCUUUAGGCCCGUUACAUGGUUUGGUGGGCUGGGUGCCUGCAUCUUACAAGUUUAAUCCACGUACCUUUGCGACUGGUAAACGAGCCCAUUGAGUAAGUCAACCAAUAAAGAGAGAGAGAGAGAGAGGAAAUUGGCUAACACAUUCGGUUUCUCAAGAUAAUUUGAACGAGAUUUCGAUUGAAAUAACUAAAAGCAAAAUUUUAACUUUGCAAUGCAUAAAAAAUAAAAAAUUAUUUAUUACCUUUUUCUCUUUUUACAAACGGUGAAAUGCAUAGUGAUUGGUUCCUUUGAUAAAUUUUCUUACAAUUAGGGUGCUUUAAUUCAAUUUCAUUUCAUAUUUUAAAGGGUAAAUUUUGGGUUCUAAAUUGUGAGAUGAUAAUCUUCAAAGUAUCCCUCAAAUUAUUGUAAAUCUCAGCUUACCACUUAUUUUUACUGAGGAGAUUAAAAAAAAAAAAUCAUUAAUCCUUUCUAUUUUUCCCUUAUCUUUUCAAGAUAAAUUAAAACUUAAUAUAGUUUAAGAAGUAUUUUAAAAAUUAUUAUUUUACAAGGAUUGAAUAAUAGCAAAUAAAGUGGUGACUUAAUCACUUUUAAGAUAAUAAAUAACAUAAGAAAAAUUCCAAUAAUUAAAUUAAUUUUUUAGUAUAACAAUAAAUUUUUAUUGAAAGAAACCUUAUUACAGUUGUAAAGCAGACGAGCAUGCUGAAAAAGAAUGUGUCAAAUUCAAAAGAGUCCAUCGCGGUAAUUUGCCUAUCAUUUUCCUCGUUUCUUUUCAGUAUCAUUAUGUUUGUAUAUUUUUUCCAUUUUUUUUAAUCAAUUUAAAAAAUGAAGAAAAGGUAAACAAGAAAAAAUAAAUUGAAAGGUCAAAAAGCUGCUUUUGCAUUGAUAUAGAGAAGAGGGCAGAGAAAAAAAGAAGAAGAAGCGCAUGAUUGAAGAAGCAAAGAAUUUAACAUAAUGGAGGGUAAAAAUAAAUAAAUGGAGAGCCGGUGACGAAAGCCCUUGAGCCAAUUUGUAUGAUAAACGAGUUAGUUGGCUCUGCUGAAUUCAUCAACAUCACAAUAUUGCAUUUGCUCGCAGGGCGAUUGAAGAAAUAAUUAAAGAAAACAUGGCAGCCUGCUUUCUCCUUUUCAUUGCUUGUUUGUUGUCAGCAAGGGUUCAGCUCUGCUCUGUGUCUCUGCUCGGACCCAUUUCACCAUUUUAACAAGCUGUUCUUCGCACAUGCAGGUAGCUAUUCUCAACAAAAAGGGGUAGGCAGCCGAGGCUCAGGCUCUCUCAAAACUUGAUUUGAUUUCAAGGUCAGAUUUUUAUCACUUUUCAACAAUCACUACUACUACUCAGAAUCACUCUCCAUGCUCUCCAUUCCUUUCAGCCCUCUUCGCUUUUGCUGUUCACAAAAAUAUUCUAAACUAUUUCAGUAUUUUUCUUUUUUUUUUUUUUAAAAAAAAAGAAAUGAUUCAUUAGGUAAUAGUAGUAGGACCCAUUAAUCUGUAACCUAUAUAAAUAAUAUUAUAAGACAUGCACGCCAUAUCUCUUUUGCAACCGUGUAUUCGACGCUUAAACUAAAUGCCUGAUUAAUUUUAAAAGAAAAAAACAAACACCUAAUUGAAAUUUAUUCGCCUUUAGCCCUUUUAUUUGUAUUUUUAUUUUUAAAAAGAAACAAGGGAGACUGAAGAGGAAAAUUAAUCACCUUCUUGACACUUUUCUUCUCUCUAACCUCAUACCGACUCUUCGUUAAAUCAGAGAGCCACAUCCCCGGAAAACAAUACUGCCAAAUAAACACCAAAAAUAAAAUAAAUGAACAAAUAUAAUGCUUGUUUAUGAAAAUGAAAAUUAGGUAAACAGAUAAGGAAAGAUAUAAAUAAAUUAUUUUUUUUGAAAAAAAAAAAAAAAACAGAUUCAUUUUAUCUUUCUUCUUUCUUUAAUCCGUGGCUUUUGGUUAUUGUGUGGUACCUGGAGAGUUCUAUCAAUAUUCUUGGCUCUUUUCUUGGGUCUAUGAGGGAGCUUUGUGCCUUUCAUAGCUAGAAAGUCAUCUUCUUUCUCCUUUCUAGACAAGGCAACAUAUAUCUUUGGCCACUCGAUCACUUCCGCAUUAACCUUUUGGGCAACUGAAACUGAAACUGAAACUACUGUGUUACUUGUACCGGCGGCACCUGCAGCUACAGCUCCAGCCCGAGUCUCUUGCUCUGAUCGAACUGGGUUUGUAGUUGCAGCACUAUCAGCUCUUGUUAUAGAUCCAUUUGUUGUGUUCUCGUCUUUUCGUAUCUUUUUGUCCAAUUUUUCUGAUGAAUGAGGAGAUCUUUUGCCAACGGCAGAUCUUGAAACACCCCGGCUACUAUCACCGGCUGCGUUUCGUGAUGGAGACCCAUUUGCUGCUGCGGGUCGAUCUUCUAUAUUCCUGAUCAUGGUAAAUGUUGAUCGAAUUUUAUUGACUCUUUCACAAGCACACAACAAAAUACUCGGACAGCACCAGAAAAAUAAAAAAAGACCAGAAAUUAAUAUUUAACACUAACAAGUGAAAUAUAUGAAAAACAAAAACAACACACAAUGUAAUUUUGGGAAAGAAAUAUUCGAAAAAUUCAAUUAGAUAGUAAAAGGAGGACUAAAAAAUGAAUUUUCAAAGAGAUGGCAUCAUUUUCAAGAUCCGGACAAAAGCAUUAAUCAAUGACUCCAUCAAAGAAAACAAGUUAAGAUGAACCGGAAGGGGAUGGGUAAAAGGUGGUGGAUAGUCCAAAUGCCAAGAGAUCAUUCAUUUGCUCAUCUUUUAAAGGGUAUAAAAGUAAACUCACUAAUAAAAAUUAAAAAAAAAAAGUUCGCAAAUCGUUUAGAGAAGCCUCUUCACACAAAUAAGGAGUGAUGGGUUAGAACAGUAGAUCCUAACCCAAAUUGAUUGACCCAAAAUUCUUUCCCAUCAACCAAUAAACCCCCUAAAAAAUAAAUAAAUAAAUAAAAUCAAAUAAAAUUAAAUCAUUCCCCACCACAUACAAAGUAAAAGAGAAAACUCUUAACCCAGAGAAAAACAUAAACGUAAAAUUAAGAACAAUGAAAAAGUUCAAAAAAUAAUAAUAAUAAUAAUUUGGUACCUGUUGUUAAUGAAUCCGGAGGAAUCUUUGGUUCUGAGAUUAGAAGGUCUAGUGGAGGUAGAGGUAGCAUUGGAAGGGUGAAAGUGAGGCGGUGGGGGCGGAGGCUUGUCGAUGAAGGGAGAUCCUGCUCUUCUAUGGAAAGGAGAAGAAGACGAAGAAUCAUCAUUGACACUGAGUGAACGGAUCUCAGUUCUAGAAAGCCUUGCUCUCUUUUUGUGACCCCACUGCAAUUGCAGCAACACAUCUCCUCCUCUACCGUUGCUAAGCUUGUUGUGGUCUGAGAGCGGAGAAGCAGAAGCAGUCGUAGUCGUAUUGUUGUUGUUGUUAAUACUAUGAUUAUAGUGAUUGGUAUUGUUGUUUUCUUGUGACGGCGGCGGCGGCGGCGGCUUCGAUGGGGAUCUGAAUCUGAAGCCGCUCUCAAUUCCGUUGGUAGUGGUUAGGACGGUUUUGGUCCCGUUUUCACCUUCUUCUCUACAUCUGAAGCUGGAUUUUGAGCCAUUAUUGCUCAGCGGAUUAUAAUCUGGGCUCACUCUCUGAUAUCUGUAAAAGAAAACAACCAAAAUGAGGAAUCAAAAGAUCCGCCGGUCGAUCAAUUAACAACAUAUAAACAAUUUGUUUCAGCUCAAAUUCCAUUAUAGUUUGCGGAUAUAAACAGCACGAUGCAACCGCCGAAUCUCAUUGGAUCCAUUAAAUCUCAUACAAACAAAGCAGCCCAUCCCCCAGAAGGGCAUGUGCGUGCGAGCAGAUGAGACGAAGAGGGUCAUUGAAGGCAAACCUCAUCAUUAUCAACGGGAACAACUAAAACAAGUGUUGAAUGGAAAAGCAGCGUAGGGUAAUCUUCAAUAUGAAACGGCGACGUUCUUCAGUUUUUUUUUUCCUUUCUUUAUUCUUACAACAAAAGAAAGAAAAGAAAAGGGGGGGGGGGGGAAGGCAGAGAGAGUUGUUGAGGAUGAACAAACAAUGGAGGAAGGAAACCUGCUGUGGUGCUGUGUUGAGGCGAUGCCCAUAUUAUUUAUAUAAAUACUAUUAUAAAUAAAUCAAACAUAAAUAUAAAAUUAUAAAUAAUGGAGCGGUAAUUAGUACAGUAGGCUUUUAAUCUUUGGCAAGGAGGGACGUGCUUUUAAUCAGUGAUCACCUUCUUAGUUUUAUUUUAUUUUUUCUUCUUUGUUUUGUUUUUCUCCCCAUAAAGUGAUUGGCAUAAUAACAUCUAGAUCCCUGGAUUUUAUAUAUUCUCCGCCAAGAGCAGACAUUUCUCCUUGUAUACUCUUAAAAUGACUCAAAUGCCCUUUAGCGACUCAGUGUUUCAAUUGUUAUUGAAUUAUUUGACACAAAAAGAAAACCUGCGUAUUUUAUUCAAGGUUUUCAAAACAUUAGGGGCCUAGAUGUUAUUAUUUAUAAAGUUUAAUUUGACUCCGUGACCUAAUUUUGUGUUUCCAUUUAUAGUCAUAGUGAAAGCUUCUUUAUCUUCACAAUAUUAUUAAUUAAAUUUUUUCAUGAUAAUUAUUAACAUUUAAUUGCUCUAUACUUUUGCUUAAUAAGCCUAUCCUGCGUCAUAAAACCCUAACAACUCAUUGUUUCCUAACAUUAACCCUAACUCUCUUUCGUAAUUUUAUCAUUUAUUAUUAUUAUUUUUUAUAUACAUUCCAUUAUUUUGAAAAUAUUUGACAUCAUUUUUUUCCAAACGCAUAACAUUAUGCUUAUUCACUUUGUAUAGUUAAUUGGAAUACUUAAUAGUGCUACAUUUUAUGUGUCAUCAAUUGAGUAAGUUAUAAAAACAAUAUGCUACUAAUUGAUAAUAAAAUCAAUUAAUAACAUGCACAUGGUAUUAAAAAGAUUGGUGACACAUAAGUAGGUAUUCCAACUAAGAGCUAAUUUGGUAAUGAUGUAGCUUUUAAAAUAAUUGCUAUUAGUCGUACUGUAAAAUAAUCAGCUGUAAAGAUAAUCAGUUAAACAUUUGGUAAAAUUUAUUUUAAAAAAUAUUGUGAGUUUUAAAAACAGUCAUGUGUAAGGUAAAUCUUACUAUAAAUCUGUUGUAAAAAUAUAAAUAAUUGAAUUAGACAUAAUGCUGAACAUAAUUUAUUUACACAUUUAUAAACAUGCAUAAAAUAUUUUUAAUUUUGUGUAUGUAAUAAUUGAUAAUUAAAAUAAAUAUUUUAUAUUAUUAAUUUAUUUUUAUUUUGUUAUCUCAAUAUAAUAAGUAGUAAUAAUAAUCUCUUUAAAGUUAAUAAUUUUAUUUUCUAACUUGUAAGGAUAAUUUUAGAUUUUUAAUAUGUAUAUAACCAUAUAUAUGAAAUUAUAUUAAAUAUAAAAAUCAUUAUCAAAAUCAGAUUUUAAAAAUUACUCAUUUCUUACUUUUUAAAAAGCUGCUACAAGAUAGAGUGACUUUUGACAAAAAUAAUUUUUAAAAAAAUUUACCAAAUACUAAAAUUGAUUUUUAACUUUUCAAAAUCACUUUUGAACCUCCUAAAAAUAAAUGUAAAUGAGCCCUAACUAUCUAAACUUAAUAAUGAUAUUCAAUUUUAAACGAAAACAUUUAAAUUAUAAAUAUAUGUAUUUGUGUAUGGAGAUAGGGUGUGAUGAAGUUUGUGAUUAAAAAACAAAUAAUAAUAAUACAUAAUUAAUAUACCCGUACACUUGUUUAGUGAACGAAUAGAAAGAUUUUCAGAAUUUCUUGAGGAAAUUUAUCAUUUUUAUUGAUUGAAUAAUAAUUUUUAUAUUUGCAAAAAAUUAUACAAAUAACUUUUUUUUUUUUUUUUCGUAAGGUAAAAAUGUAAGUGUGGUCAUAGGUGUAGGGUUCGAAAUCUUAUUUUAAACUAAUGAUUACUCGGAGGCGUGAGCGUGACGUUGUGAGCUUAAAAUAUUGACAGUCUAAGCUAUUUUCACGGGGAUUAAAAAGACUAAAAUACCAUCAACACAUCAUUAGCUUCGCGCAGUCAUCAUCAGAUCCUAAUUCAGAAAACAAAAGGCAUCUUUCUUUAUAAUUUUCCAUGCGUCAAGAUUCUAAAACCUACAAGGAAUCUAGUAGUUUCGGUGGAAAAAAAAGGAAAAAAACCUCCAAUUUCCAUAAAUUUCACCUAAUAAACAGCUCCUCAACUACGAGAAUUUCCAUCUAUCAAUCUAGCAGAGAACUUGACUCUUGAUUCGUAUAUCUCCAAAACAGUUCGAAAUCUCGCAAGUUUUUGACAACGGAGAUCGUCGAAUUAUUCUGUUCAUUUAUUUGUUCUCUUUUCGAGGAGUGGGAUCCUUCCCUACUUAAUUUUCUAACCAUGAAUGUUUGCCAAAUGUGGCGGCAAAGAGGCUGGUUCUCAUGUCAAAUAAUGCCAUAUUUUGUUAUUUUUUGUUGAUGAUGUAUAAUACCCCCAAGAUGUCAUGUCUCCCUAAUAGCAUGCCUGGCAUGUAAAUAUUGGUUGAUUUACUAAGAUCUUUUGCCAAAAAAUGUUAAAAAGAUUUUGUUAUUCUAUUUGUGUUCUAUGGUAGAUACAAGGGGCAUAAAGUUCACGUUUAUAUAACAAAAAAGAUCACAUAUACAAAUCAUAUGACAAAGAAAGAGGACAAACGACAGCUGUUUGCUGCUUCAUUUAACUUCACAUCUUAGUGCAAAAUUCUUGAGCCACACAAUUACAAGAACAAUCCACUAACUGCAACAUCACAAUCCCCCAUUUCAGGGAGGAAGGGCUGCAUAUACAUUAUUUUCAGCCUUGCAAAGCAACGUAUAUCUUCUACUUCUCAGCCGUCUUCGUCGAUUUGCUUUUGCCGUUCUAGAUUGUAUGUUGAAAAAUAACCCGGUGAUGCUAGACAGCAUUACAAGCAUGCAAGAGCAAAAAAGGAUUUGAAUAUUGGAGUUUUAGGACCUGUUUGGAACCGAGGUGCAUAAUCUUUUUACCCAAUCAGCUGCUGAGAAAUGAACUCUCUAGCUGUUAAAAUGAUAAACGGAGUCAUGAGGUGUCAUAAAUAAGUUGUUAACCAAACACUAAAGCUACUAUAUUUUCAUUCAUAGACUUGCCCUAAAUUCACUAGGUUGAUUAUGCAUUUUGAUAUAUAUCAUAUCAUGUAUGUCAAGAAAAGUUGAAACAGACAUCAGUAAAAUCAUGCCCUGUCUAGUUUGAUUACCUUAUCAUAACAGACAAUUCAAGCGGGCAAAAUGAGAUCUCAAAAUGCAUAAUCACCAAAGUGGUUUAUGCAUGCUUGAAAACUAAAUCACAGCUUUACAAGCGUACUCCAGCUUACCUAAAUAAUAAGAAAUCAGAAUAUUUGCAGUUAUCGGAACAACCUUGGAACUGAUCUCUUUGGUACUUUGCCCUCAAGCUUUAGUCGUCUAUAAGCUUCUCUGAUGUGGCAAGGCCUGAUUGGCCCAGAUUCAUUCCUCUCCGUCAUAACCAUUCGAGCUGCACAACCACAGAAGAAAAGGUGAUUCAAACUUCUAAACACAAUCUUUGAUGCAUAUUACACAAACCACCAAUUCAUAGCUAAGGUUUUGGGUUUCUAAAGACUGUAAAAAAAAAGCAUUAAACCAUUACUGUUUGAAGUAUUCAGACCUUUCCCCUAGCCACAUGACUAUCUUUUACUUAACAUAUUCAUCAAUUUGCAAACAAAAUUUGGGUAACAUUAACACAAAAACCUGUUUCAACAAGUUCACCCACAAACAUUUUAGCAAUCCCACAGACCACAAUUGUCAUUGGUAAAGAAAUUUUCUGGCUCCCGGUGAUGCUCACCAACAACUGCUUUCACAAAACAAGAGAAAUGUAAUCAAUACAAUAAAGUCACGGAGAACAUAAACAAUCGAACCAAGUUCAAAGAGUUAAGGGAUGCAAUAAAUACCCUUCUCAUGUUGGACUUCUGAAGUGCAGAUCUCCGAAAGGACUCGUACCGAUUCAUCUGGUCCUCAGUGAACUGAUUAAGAAUAGCUUGCAUCUUGGCCAUCUUAGCAGGGUCAGAACUAGAAGGGAACUUGCCAAGUUCCACAUCCACGUUUUCGUCGUCUUCUUCGUCAUACUCAUCUUUAUUCUUGGACAUGGUCAUCUUAGCAGCAGGGCCAGCAGACACGGACAUUGGAGCUUGACUCUCUAGAUUAUCAAACUCAUCUUCUAACUCGCCGGUAACGGCGGCAGUGGCAGAACCAGCAGCGGUACCAGUCUGAGGUUGAGUCUCAAUCUCUAACUCAUCCGGGGAAUCCCCGGGCGAUUCCUCCAAUGCUGCCUCAAAUGGGUCCUUUGACUGCUUCAUCCUCUGAACCAAUACCAUACGAUGCAAUUUCUUAAUUGACCUAGACCCUAGGGUUUCUAAAAAGCCAAAACCCUAAAUUGAAUAGUAAAAAUAAAUUAGAUUAACAAAAAGCAAUACCUCAAUUUCGCAUAAUGGAGAAGAGAGCGCAGCAGCGUGGGCCAGGUGUUAGUUACUGUGGACGGCGAUGGGUUAACGCCAAUUUGCCCAGGACCGAGCUGGAUGACGCCGACCGUAAUAAGAAAUUUCUUUAUUCUUGUAUCCGAUGGACUAGUUGUGGCCCAGCCUAUUAUAAAAACAAUGUAGUCCAAUCAGUCUGAGUGAAGCCUUUCAUAAAAGAAGUCUUGUGCUUCUAUUCCAUUUUACUAAUAUGUCCCUCAGUUUUUAUCAAAUUUACAAUUUUUAGUAUUGCAUCUGCAUACCAUACUAGAGUUACAGGAAUUUCUGUCACCCAGGUAAAAUGUUGGCAGAAAGCCAUUAACUCAUUCAGCUCCAAAGACACUCAGGGAGAAAAAUGUAAAUAUACCAUCCAGCUCCAUCACAUUGGUACAAUUCAAUUGCAUCUUAAAGAAAUAAUAAUAAUAAAUUAGAAUAAAAAAAGGGGGUAAAUCAAUGUUUGAAAAGAAAGACAAAAUGACUAAUAUUAAACUCCAAAAGAAUAACCUAACAAAUUGGAAUUCCUUGUUUAUAACGGGACCAGAUACAGAAAAGAAAAAAUGUAAGUACACAUCAGCACCUAACAGAAAAACCCGCUGCCCUUCUCCUCUUCUCAGGAAGCCGAAUAAAUAAAUAGAACUAGCUGGCAGUCUUCUUCUGCCCAGACAUAUGCAGUUAAGUUAUCAAACCCUGGGUGUUUUUCCGUUUCCAUCUCUAACAGAAGGCAUUCUGACCAUGUCUUCAUCAUCAUGACAUUGAAUUAGAGCGAUGGUCCUUCAGAUCCUUGAGGCUCUACAAUCCAACAUGUAAAUUAAAAAAUGUAGCCGAAAUUAAUCACUUUCAUUUGACAGGGUGGAUAUAAAGACAACCAAUCUGACCACUUACCAGCCGUUUGAAAGAUUUGUUACUCGUAGAUUUCUUUAACUUCUCUGCGUCGGGUUUUGCACGAUCCAACGUCUAUGGAACAUUAAAAGUCUUGCAUUGGUUAGAAACUGAGCAUGUAAAAUAAUAUAUCUCCCCAAAGAGAAUAAUUAAAAUAUUUUUUUUUGGUCAAAUUUUAAACUAAUAACAAAGCAACCCAGAAAACUUAAAGAAAAUAGCCAAAAGAAAGUGGAAGUACUACCCGAAUCAUAGAUUCUACACGACGCCUCAUUCGUGUAUGCAUGAAACCCUCCGAGCACUGAGAAAGAUUAGUGGAAAUAAAUUGUGAAGAAUCAAGUCAAAGUAAGCACAGCUCAAUGGCAAAUGGUAAAACUCAAAUAAAGAUAAAAUAAUCAAAGAUUAUCCAACUGAAAAAUACCAAGUAUGAUCUUGGCACAACGUGCUUUGCAUCGUUUUUUUAUUUCACGUUACCAUUCUAAUCUACGCAAGAGUUUGAGAUAAACUACUAAGUAUUGAACGAUUGAUAAGGAAACCCACCUUAACAUGAUAACUAACAUAUGCAUGGAAAGUUGAUAAAUUCCAAACUGUACGAUCCAAUUUUUUCCCUUCCACGUGUCGGGGAAAUAUCACUACAGUGGGUUGAAAACAUUAAAAAGUUAUAACAAGAAUAAAAAAGAAAGAAACAAUCUGUACUCAUUCAUCUGAUAUUACCAAAAGUAACAAAUCCAGCAUUGGCAGAUAACGUUUCAGAAGGAACUCCCUUCAGUUCCAGUGGCGGAGAAGAGGACCACAUGCAAAGAGGUGCGUUAUUAAGUCCAGCAGUACGUCUUGCUUCCACAAAUUCCUGAAUACCCAAGGAGAAUAAAGGAAACAUUACAGAAAAAUACAAAUUGAAGCUAAACCUUCAUGCAAAAUAGCAAUCAUCAAUCUUUUAAUAAUCUAGAAAAUUCAUAGAAUCUACGUUUGAGGGAAGUAAAAGUUGGUUCUGAACAAUCCUUGAUAUUUUGAAUUAGGAGUGACAAUUUGUAACAUGACCCACCAACACAAAACAAAGAUAACAUCAACUUAGUGGGAUAAAGUUGAACUUAAUCGUGUCCAUGUUAUAUUUGUGUCAGUCCAUUUAACCCAAUAAAUAGAUGUAUCAAGCUCAGAUUGUAUCCCCUAACCUGUGAAUUUGUUUAAUGAUACAAAUUGUUAUCUGUGUUGUCUCAGAUUGUUUAAUGACUAGAACCAUUCGAUUUGAAUUUGUUUAACGGGUAAUGUCGGACAAACUUGUGUAAAAAGUCGUGUCAUGUUAUCCACUAAUAAGUGGGUUCUAUUCGUUUUGGCUUUUAAAUCCCUGACAUGAUCAAUUAAACAGGUUGUGUUUGAGUUGACCCCAAUCAUUUGACACCCCUACCUCAACACAACAGAAACGCAACUUGCCAAUAUGAAUUGCCACCAAUAUUUUGAAUCCAUGUUGCAAUAUCAAAACUUCAAGCUAGUAGGCAAGAUUAUUUACUAACUGUACCUGCAGGAAGGAAGUAGCAAGAACAGUAUCUAUGGAGUCAUUGAAUCGCAUAGGAAACACCACAGUCACCUUUUCUGCCUGCAUUAACAAGUGCACUGUUUACUCACAUAAACCAGAAGUAUUGCCACAUCAUACAUGUAAAUAAAUGAAAAGCCAUGUGGACAAGUACCCAGAUCACACAAGCUCUGCAAAAACAUAAGACCUCAAUUUGAAAAAUAACAGAUCCAUCUUUAUAGAAGGACUAAAAGUGAAAACAACUCUCAGAUGAAAAAAAUAUGGAGUAAGAAAGAGAAGAGGGAAAAUGAUAUUCAGCUCUGAAAGAUUUCUCUUGGAAUCAAGUUUUGCCAAAUUCUAUCGUACAAAAUAAUGAUAAAUAUAUAACAAGGAGAACCAACACAGCUAAAAGAGACUUAUCACUGUACCUGAGGAAUAAGGAAAAAUGACUCCUUCGGUCGAUGCACAAGGGCAAGAAGCUGAUCUAUAUCAGAAGCAACAGUCUUUGAUGCAAGAUGUUUUAGUACUACUCUUAAUGGGGCACCUAACACCACUUCCCUAACAGAUGCAAUCUUCACCAAAAGAGCAUGUUUGUUCUCUGCAGAAAAUCAAAAUAAAAACUGUCAAAAAUGGUACUAAAAGUGAUUAAAAGAAUAAAAAUUUAGAGGCCAGUUCAUUUUGUUUAUGUAUAUUAUGGGUUUUGUGGUCCACGUGGCACUACAACCAGUCAGGGCUAGAGCACAUAAGACUUUGCAACUAUCUUCAAGAAAUGUCCCAUCUUCCCUAUCAUAUUCACUCAAACUGCAUAUCAUGCAGUUGCUUGGAUAUCAACCAGGACAGGAAAAACAGACUCACCCACCAAUUACUCAUGUAUCACCGCAAAACGAACGCAAAUUUUCAAUUCCCUAAUCUCGGAAGCAGCUAUUCACUGCAUGAUUAUUGGUGUACAGCUCAAUGACGACUAAACAAAAAUGGAUAGAUGAUGGUUACUUGCAAAUGAUGGUAUAGGUACAGACAACCUCAAGCUAUGUGCUAAAAGUUGUAGACACACAUAUUUAAGGCAACAAGUUUUCUAACAAAACCUGGUCAUCAGCUUCUUCUUAUGUCCCAGUUGAGGCAAGUUAUGGAUUUCAUCGCUAAAAACAUUACAAGUUUCCCUUCAUUCUCAUAACAAUUGUCAAAGUAUUUGUCAGACAACAUCUAUUGACAAUAUUUUUUCAGAGGAAGCAUCAAUUGACACUCUAACAUUGUGCAGCAAGAUAAAAAAUUAGCAGACAGUGAAAAGAAGGAAGCUACAGAAAAGGCAAUCAAAAAACUGCUUCUGCCAUAAGAAUGUUAAUGGCUCAUUCUAGAAUAUACCCUCUUCAAAAUCAAGAAGUAGUAAUCAACAAUAAAACUAUGAUUAAAAUUUGGACAGCCUCUCAAACUCAUCACUUUAUUUCCUUUGCCUCUCAAGUGACUCAACAUUUAUAUCUUCGUUCCAAUUGCAUUUGUUAGUGUAGCUAUUCAUUAUUGCAAAGGAAUAUCCAUCAACACAAAAAAGAACCCCCUACCAACAUUAAUACUUGUUUCAAAAAGCCAGGACAUUUCACUAGGAAAUCAGAGAGUUUCAAUUUUCUAAUCAACUAAAACACCAUUAAGUCACAAUCUGCAAAAAGAAUAUGGACAUGAAAACUUUUAAAAUGCUGAUCCUAAUUGUCUAUGGCAUAUUAAUAGCAAGCUUAUAAUGACCUUAGAAAAGGAACUCGUUGAACCUUCAUUUGGAGGAAGCUUUGACAAAUUAAGCUUCAAGGUAAGAUUAAAACCAUCCCUAGGAGGAUCAAGAAUCUGUACAACAUUUCCAUAAGCCGCUUUUAUAGCUUCUAUGGCUCCAAAUGGGAGCCCACCAAUGAAAAUGGUUUCAGGAGGUGGGACCGGUAACGACACUGAUAGUAACACUAUAUGUGGAUUCUUCAUCGUCACCUGCAAAUAAUUUAAAAAUUAAUUCACAUAACCCGUUUCAAGACAAGCGUCAGCUUCUUCAGACUUUAAUUUAAACCAAUGGGUUUAGAUUAAAUUACCUGAACAUGGUAACGAACAUCGUCAAACUCAACCCAGUGGUAAUCCACCUCAGUAGCUUUAUCAACACUGCAGAGCAGAAUCAACCAAAAUUAGAAUACCAAUAUAAAAAAUUCGUGUGAAAUUGGUACAAGCAAAUAGCAAAAAAUGGAGUAAUAAAAAUGCAGAAGCUCAUAAGAACUUACUUUUGAACUCGAUUCAACAAAGCCUCAAGAAGGAACCUCGAGUGAGACUGUAAGAGUAGCAUCUGUUGGAUGAAAAUUGAGAGGGGUUAUGUCUUAUUCUUAUGAUUAUGAUUGUGAUUGCUAUUGUUUGUGAUCUGUUUUUGAUUUGUCACAUAGACAGAAACGUGAGACGUGAUAAUGUUUAUGAGGAGAUUCUUUCAAUUUUCAAGAGAAUAAUUAUCAUGUAGGUCCUUAAUUGUUUUCGUUUUAUAAAUAAAAACAUAAUGUGUUACAUCUUAUUAUACAACUCCUUACUGCCAAACGGAUUUAUGGACCCUACUAAAUUGGAACUUUGAAUGAAACCUAGUAGGUCCCAUCGGCCAUCUCCCACUUCCAGUCGGAAGAAAAUAUGAAGUCCAUUUUGGCCACAUUUUGUUAAUUGAAUUAUCUUUAGCAGUACUUAUGAUAUGCAGUAUAAUAUUGCAUUCAAAAUUUUAUUUUAUUUUAUUUUUUUCAAAGAAAGGGUUGGGCAAAUUUUAAAAUGUAUAUUUAGUACUUAUCUAUCUCAGGCCAGGUAAAUUAAAUUACUUAAAAAUCAGUCAACUAAUUUUGAAGCUAUUACAUUUACACUCAAGUAAUUUUGAGUUCAAUUUUUAAAAAAAAAUUACUAAGUAUUAAUAAAUAUAUAUUAAUAAUUUUUUAGAGCUUUCUAAUCACAAGGCCUAAGAUCAAAUUUUGGAAUUAACCAAAUCUUAAAGUGCAAAAACCAUUAGACCCCUUAUUCAACUUCAAAAAUCCAAACCAAUACAUUUCCUUUGUAUUUCACUAUCUAAUACCUUAAUGCUACAAAAGGCAACAUUAUAAUAUAGUGAACAUAGAACUACAAUUUUCUCCGUAUAAAUUGAUUUAUUUAGGGUAGUAUAAAUAAAAGGAAUAAAUGUAUUAAAAUGUUGAAUGACAAACGAUAUUUUUUUUUUAUCUAUAUUGAGAAAAAGUUUUAUAUGAGACAAUCUGAAUAGAAUCAUCCAAUAAAAUCAUGAUAUGUAUUAUGAAUAUUUUUAUCUCAUCAAUAAUAAUUGGUCAAUUUGAAAAUAACUAUGUAUAAAUUUAAUUUUAAUUAAGUAAAUAUAUAAAUAACGUGAUACAUCUGUCUCAUCUAAAACUUUCUCUUAUAUCAUGCAUUAAUUAAUAAUCACAAUUUAUAUUUUACCAAUAUCAAUAAAGAAAAUUUAUGCUUCACCACUAUCAAUAAUGGGAUAUGAGUGCUACAAAAUAUAAGUUCGGUAACCUAGAACUUUUGGUAGAAAAAAUUUGGAGCCAAUUUAAAUUCAUCUUUGGUCAUGAACCAAAACCGAACCGGUUCAUAUGAUCAAGCUGAACCGAUUUUAUUAAGUUGAAGGGUAUCUAUGACAUUGACCCAAAUUAAGAAGUUGAAAAGUUCGGAUAUUUAUCCUACAGACUCCUGAUACUUUCUCUUAUUAAUUAAGAUGAAAAUGCGGACAUUUAUUUAUGUUAAAUAGGUCCUUACUUUUAUGAUAAAUAUCAAAAAGCCCCUUGGAUUAGUCACGACCGUUGAAAUUAUAAUAACAUAAAUUUUUAGGACAAAAAUGAUAAAAAUCAGUUAAAAAUUGGAAUCUCGAUCCAAGUGAGUGACAAACUGAGAGAUUUUAAUUUGAUGGAUGGGAGGAGACUGAGAAGAUUCGGGAGAAGAAGGAGGAGGCAGUCCUCCCUUCUUCCGGUGGGCGCAACCGCACCCGAUGAUAACGCCGCCUACACCGUUUCGUGCUGUUACUGCGAUUUCAAAAUCCGUGCUUUGAAUGACGCUCUGUCCCGUUUUGGACGAAGACAUGCCGCUUGGCUAAGAGUUUGGUUCUCCAUCGGCGUCGGUUUCAGCCUCACGCUGCUGCUUGCACUCAGCUUCCUUCUCGUUUGGAAUCUUUUUGCUCAAAGGAAUUCAAACGACGCCGCAUUCUUCUUCUUGUUUGGCUUUUCGCCCUCGGUAGGCACCAUUAAUUGAAUUAGUAGUAGAGUUUGUAUCCGUUGUAUUAUCAAAUUAAUAAUUCAUGGUGGACAAACAUGUGGCUUUAAUAAUAACAUGAGUUAUGAUGCUGCCACGUCAGGUUGCAAAGGUUGAUUUUUCAUUGUGUAGCUCUGGUAUUAUUUUGUUGUUAUUUAUGGUUCGUGAUUGCAGGUAUCACUUGCUGAUGCUGCCUAUCUUUUGCUUUCUACUUUGAUUUCAGUAUCUGUGCAUGAAUUUGGCCAUGCUACAGCUGCUGCCUGGUGAGGUUGCUUUCUCUUGUUCUCAAACGAUGCUUGUUUACAGUACAUAUAUGAUUAUGAACAGUAAGUCAGAAAAGCAAGACUUAAAUACUAUUAAUGGAUGUUACGAUUAUUGAAGAGCAGCGAGGGCGUACAAGUGGAGUACAUUGCUGUUUUUUUUGCGGUUCUAUUUCCUGGAGCUCUUGUUGCUUUCAAUCAGGACUUGCUGCAGUCAUUACCACGCUUUACUGUUCUUCGUGUGUAUUGUGCUGGCAUUUGGCAUAAUGCUGCAGUAAGAAGCUCACUCAAUAUGGCAACAAAAUGCUUGUGUGCCAUUGUAUCUGUUAAAUUUUUAACUGAACUUUAUUUUCAGUUAAUGCUGAUUUCCUGCAGUUUCUUCUCUAGUGUUGUGCAGUCUGUGGAAUGCUGCUAUUUCUCAUGCCCUUGAUCUUGUUUCCCUUCUACAAACAAUGUGAAGGCACCAUGGUAAUUCACCACAACCGCGGACAUUUUUCACGUGACUUCUUAUAUGUGCAAACAAACAUCAAAGAUUAUAUAUUCUGAUUUGACACAUUGUUCCCAUAUACGUACUUUCCUAUAUCUGGUUGGUUUGCAUAGGUUUUGGAUGUGCCGUCUACUUCACCUUUGUCGGGCUAUUUGUCACCUGGAGAUGUGAUUGUGUCUUUGGAUGGCAUACACAUCCAUAACGAGCAAGAUUGGAUGGAGGUGGCUGCUUUGCUGGAUAAAUACACUCCGCAAAAUUCAAGUCAUUCCAAAUAUCCUGGUUUAAGGGCAGCUGAUGGCAGAAAGGGAUACUGCGUCUCUAAUUAUAUGAUCGAAGAGAGCAAGAAGAUUCAAUUGUUAGACAACCAAUCUGCUUGUCCCAAUGAUUUUACUGCAUUUGUUACGGUUCAGUGCUUUGAUAUAAGUAUCUCAGUUAAUGUUAGCAGUGAAGGGGACCAGCUAAACAAAUUAGAGAACGUUUACUGCUUGAAUGCAAACGAUAUUGUCAAGCUCAAGAAAUGUGGUGAUGGAUGGGUCACAUCUUCAACAAAUGGAAGCCACUGUGUGUGCUCUAAGGUGGAUAUUUGAAUCUUUGGGAAUGAAAUAAAGGCUUUCAAGCAUUGUAACGUCUAUCAAUCAUUCUGUUUUACUUCUUGUUUUCUUGAAAUCCAGUGGAAAUAUUCUGUUUAGUGACUGAAUAAAUAUGUGACAAAUAUUCACAGGAGGAGUCCUGCUUGACUCCGGUUCAGUUGCCAGGUUUGGCAUGGGUUGAGAUUACAUAUUCAAGACCUUAUUCCUUGGAGUGCAAGCAACUUUCAAGAAGUUCAGUUUCUGAUACCAGGACUACUGACUUUACGGAUCCACACUGUGGUGGAACUUUUGUCUUCUUUGGUGAUGUAAUCUUCAUGGCUCAAUCAGUUUCAUUAACUCAGUAUCAACCCCGUUGGGCAUCUGCUUUUGGUGCAUAUCUUCCAAACAUUCUGAGGAAGAGUUUGAUUUGCAUAUUCCACGUCUCUCUAACACUUGCUCUUCUUAACAGUUUGCCAGUAAGUUAUUGUUAUUUUUCAUUUUAUUGUAAGAACAUGAUUCUGUUCAAGCAAACAUUAGCCUGCAUUGGGGUGCAGUAUGUCGAAUUCAAGUUGAAUUCUUAAAUUAAAAGGGUCUGAGAAAUGAAUUGUCGUAAGUAAUCUUCUGUUAACCAUCGUAGUUAAUCAGGAAAUUAGUGGUGACCAUAAGGUUCUUAAGCUGAAGAGCUUUUACCUCACAUGUUAUGAUGAGGUUAAUUUUCUCUCUGAUUUUUGUUUCAUCUAGGAGAGGUACUUGUCAGAGAGAUAAAUGCUGGCAAAUGAAAGUGGAUUUUAGAUUUAAUCAUCAUCAAUGACAAAAUGUUACAAUGUUUGAUGGUGUUAAAUUAAUAAGCAGGCAGAGUGAAAUGUGUAUUAUUCGGAGGAUCAUCAAUGAUGGAGCUUGAUAUCUUGUUAUCUUUAGGUAGCGUCAGCAAUUUAAUUUCAUACAAUACAUAAGAUUAAUGUGAGAAUGCUUAUAUAAGUUUAAUCUAAGUACCUGUUAGGCUAUGAGAAUGCUUAUAUAAGAUUACCGUAUGCCAUUUCUUACAAAUCAAGUUUCAGUUUUUCUAAUCAUAAUAUUUUCUGUUAGGCAUAUUUUCUAGAUGGAGAAUCCAUUUUUGAGGUGACUCUAUGCUUCAUCACUUCACUGAGCCCAAGGCAGAGGGAAAAAGUUCGUCAUGUAUGUCUUAUGGGAGGGACACUCAUUUCAAUCCUCACCUUUCUGAUGACAUUCUUCAUUAAUUUUUUUGUAGGGAAAGGUAAUAGUGUUCUCUCUCUCUCUCUGUAGGAAAAUUACUUUCCUUCUCUUUAACAUAGCAAUAUCUUUCAUUUUUAGAUUAGUUGAUACUUUUGCAAUUUUUUUUGGCAAAUUAUUACGACUUGAAUUCCCCUAUUAAUGCAUGCAUACUAUCUAAUAAUUGAUUUAUUAAUAAAACUGUAAACAUUAUAUUUUUAUUCAUAACAUGUAUGGAUGUGUGACAGUUUAUAUUAUUCAAACAAAUGUAAGAUCAGUAAGAUACUUAGGCCUAGAUUGGUAUUGAGGCUGUAGCCUUUAAUUCAUAGUUGCUGUGGAAAAAGGCCAUAUCUAUGAAAUAAAAGUUGAUAUUGUAUAGUAAAUGUGGCUUUUAAAUAAUAAUUUUAACAAAAAUUAGUAAAUAUAUUAAGUUUUUCAUCAUACAAGUGUGUGAUUAAUUCAACUAAGCUUUCAAGUUAUAACAGCAAGUAUAUUUUACCAAACACUUUAGUGUUGUGGCUUUUAAGUUACAACUGUUUACCUCAAUACCAAACAGGGUUUUAAUAUGAAAUCUUAGGGCCUGUUCUAUAUUGUUUUUGAAUUGGUAUUUUUUGAAAACAAAAAUGAAAAUGAAAAUGAUGUUUUAUAGUUGUUGUAUUCCAAAUAUAAAUAUGUGUCAAGUUAGACUAUUGGCACCCCUUUUUUUAGUUAUAUUUAUUUUAUUUAUGAAAGUAUCCUUUUUCUUUUUGUAAAUACACUUCUAAUUUUUCAUUUAAUCUUCUUUUAUUUGUUAAACUCAAAAGUAUUUUUCAUUUCUUUUGCAAUCCUAUUAUUACUCUACACACAAAUUAAAACUUUUCUAGGUGAUAGAAUUUUUAAAUGUUAAUCACUGGCUUAAAUUACACAAACUUUACAUUAUAAUUUGAAAGCAAUCGUAAGUACAAAAAUAUUUAAUCAAUAAGAAAUAUGAUAAGAAUAACAGAUUAUUCUAAAUUUAUACAAGUUAUUUUAGUUAGAUAGGAAGUAACAUUUAAAAAAAAAAAAGGGAUUGGUUAUGAAUGCAAGUAAUUUGUUGGAAAAAAAAUCUAUGUAUGUUUAAUUUUUGUUUCUCUUUAAUUGUAAUUUAUUUGAAGUGGGAUUUUAUAAGAAUAAUGAAGGGGUGCUAAUAGCUUCACUGAUGCAUGUAUGGUAUUAUUUACAGUAUCCUUUGUUUUAAAAAUGAAAUCAGUAACAUGCAUAUGAUAAACAUAAUUGAAAAAGAUAAAAACAAUGAGUAUAUUUUUGACAAUAUCAUUUUUAGAAAUAAUUUUUACUAAUAUUUAAUAUUUAAAAAUACUAUAAUUUUUUAUUUAAUCUCUAUUUACUAAACUAAUAAUUCAUUUAAAAUUACACAAAUUAUUAAAUCAUAAAAAUACGUGAACAAACGUACCAUAAUCAACUUAGUAUUAGCAUUACUAGAAAAAAAAAGUUUUACAUUGUCAUUUUUCUCAAACUAUAAUUAAGAUAAUAUUACAACAGUUUAAAUAAAAUAAUUAUUGAAUUACAUGAUAAACGUUAUGAAUUACAGAGUAGCAGCAGCAGAAGAGAGUGAGAGCAACAACAGUGGCAGAGAUAGAACAAAAGCAGAGAGAAAAAGAGAGAGCGGAGCGGCAGCAACAACGAUCUUAUUCAAUAUUCAGUGAUGGUGAAUAUUUGUUGAAAAAGAAGAGCAAAAGCCAUGAAUCGAGAGUUGUGAGUUCAGAUCUAAUGGAGAGAGAAGAGAAGAUCAGUUUACAAAUAAGGUUUUGUUUUAGGAGGGAGAAGUAGUAGAAGUAUCUUGGGGAACGGUUAAAAAAUUGUUUUAUAAAUUUACUUUAAAGUUUGUUUUGUAAUUCACCCAAACCGUACGUAAUAUGUUUUAUUUGUUUUACAAUUUUUUUUUUCAGGACCGCAGAGUGAGUAUUGCACCUGGACUCUGAGAACGUAAGUGAAAAUACGGCCUAAAAAGGGAAAAUUAUCAUUUUGCUAUUAAAGUUAUUCUAGUAUAUCAUGUUAGUAUUAUAGUUUGUGAAAAAAUAUAUUUUAUUAUCAAAUAUUUGUACCGUUAUCAAUUCAAUAUUAUUCCGAUAAAAAAAGUUAAUGUUUAACGAAAACUGAAUUAAAAGUUGAUUUUACCCUCAAGAAUUUAGUAAUAAAAUGAUAAUUUUUUUAAAAUAUUGGUAGUAAAACGAUAAUUCUCUUAAAAUUUUGAUAGUAAAAUGAUAAUUUAUCUAUCAAAUUAACAGAUAAUUUUAUUUUUAUAGAUAGAUAUAUCUUUGAUGCCCUUAUGAAUUAUGAUAUUAGUAAAUUUUUAAUGUUCUUAACGGAAUAGUAAUGAAUUAAUAUCGCUGUAAAUGUUUAAUAAUAAAAUAUAUUUAUCGACAAAUUAUGAUACUAAUAUAAUAUGUCAGAAUAAUAUUAAUAGUAAAAUGAUAAUAUCCCCUAAAAAAUGAUGCUGCACUGGCCCUAGUUUUCAGAGGAUAACUACUCAACCUUAAUGUUUAGGAUUGCAGAUACGAGAUCCAAGUCGCUAUUGACAUCACUGUCAACGCUGCAUGGACAAGAGUAACCAUUGUAUUCGGUAGCAACGAACACUCCACGUGUAUCAUGAGUCAUCACUGUGUCCUAACUUUUACAUGGUUGCUCUUAAAUGUAGACAAAAGAGGAGACUGCUGUUUAAGUUAGACGAUUCUAGAGAACGUCGCAGACUCGCAGUUAACAUCUUAUGGGUAUGAAUUGGUUAAAAAAAAGAAGAAGAAGAUGCUUUGAAGGCAAUUAACAUUUAGCUAGUGUCGCUGUCACUUCCUCUGCUUAUUCCAUCAUUUAGUUUCCAAGUUCUUUUUGUCUUUUCUCUGGACAUUUUUGUGCCCAGAAUAUACUAGACGCAUUAUUAUUUAUUUAUAUAAUGAUGAAGUACAAUUAUAGCCAAUGCCCUUAAUUUGCUUAAUUGUUGCGGAACUGCCUUUGAUUUGUACCAAUGAAUGUCAUUUUAUCUAUAUGUAUUUGUCUUCUCUCCCAUUCAAUCUACCAUGACGGCUAUUGUAUUGAUUUGGCAUUAGCCAUUGAAUAUCAGUUUGUUAGAUUAUACAUUAGGCUGUACUAAGAAUGGAUUAAUGAGAUUGUUCAUUGCGAUGACACUGACAGUGUUCUUCCCACGUUUCAUUUGAGAUUUUAGGCUUCGGAGAGGAUAUAUUCCUUCCUCGCCUCCGAGGGGGUUCUCUGACUUACCAGUUGGAUAAGCCAAGAUAAAUAUUUUGCCUCUUUCUUUAUACUGAUCAAUUAGAAAAUCGUGCCGAUCCGGAUCCGGUGCCUAUUAAUUUUUGGAAUUUAUUUGUGUAGUCAGUUUUGUUAGGGUAUGUUUUAGUAUGCGGUGGUUUAAUUUUUAAUCAAGAGUUGCCGAGUAGGUAGUUGGAAACAUCAGCCGCAGGUGAAAAAAAAAAUGAGUAUAUACCAAGCAUCAUAGAUGUAAAAAUAAUUGAGAAUGAAAAUCAUAUUUUAAGGUUGAGUAUUUUUUUUUUUUUUUUGAUACACUAAUAUAGUACAAUCGGUGAUUUUUACAAUCAAAAAUCAGCCGGGACUUAGCCUAAGUAAUUCGAUUACAGCACAUCUCAAUUAUCAAUCCUAAUAAAUUAGAGGAAGAUUUGUCAUCACCAUUAAUAUCAUAGGGAAAUCGAUCCUACUAUAAUAUGGGAGCUAACCAUCCCCAUUUUUUAUGGAGAGGUAAGUUAAGUUCCAGUGUUGACCCUGCACUGAGACUUGAACUCAUGCCCUCAAGGUUGAGUAUGCUUUUGAUAUCAUUUCAUAAAAUUAGUUUUCUAAAAAUUAAAAUUAAAAAAAAUUUGGUGUCAUUUUUAAAAUUGCCAUCUGGUAUUCGGUUGAAAUAAAAAUAAAAUAACUAUGCGAGCAAAAUUUUAAUUAGGGAAUAUCGUAUUUGAUGAAGUGGGCCCCAACAUUUGGGCCUAUCGAAUUCGGACUUCCAAUAGUUUUGUCUUAUUAUAAGUUUAGUACUAAAAAAUAAUGGGAAAAUAUUUUCCAUCUUUUAGUUAUAAUUUGAAAGAUAAAUGUUUUUUGUUUUCAAAAAAAAAAAAAAGCUUUGGAAAAUAUGCCACCAUACAUAUUUUUCAAUGUUUUCUGUUUGUUUUGGGGGGGGAAGAAGAAAUAGCAAUUACAAACGCACACUCUUGGUCUGGUCUGUUAGUCAGUUUCAGAGGCUUGAUAUUAGUGGAAAACGUUGGGCUAUGGCCUAGUGGGCUUGUAAGUUUAAAAUAUGGGUCUAAUCUUAAGGCGGCUAUUUUUAAAUUUUUAAUUUUUUUUUAAAAAAAGAUUGUUUAGGGAAAGGUCACUUAUAUUUUCAUAUUUUAGGUCUUCGGUCACCUAAAUUCGAGUAAGAAUAAGACAUUAAAAUUAAUAUUUUAACGAGUGAGACUUCUGAUUUUACUAAAAAAUUUAAGUAAAGAAAAAAAAAUACUUGUGGUCGCUUUCUAUGGCCUAUUUAACACAAGUUGAUAUUAUAUUUAAUGUUUCCAAGCACUAACUAAAUCUAUAAGAGGGGAUAAAAAAAAAAAAAAAAGGAAAAGAAAAAAAGAAUCGGAUUUUGUUUCUGGAUAAUGCUUUUUAAAAAUAUCCCAUUUGCUUGCUCACACGUCUCCUACGAUUCUUUUGUUUGUAUAAGGUUGAGAGAGCAAAAUAAUCUCCUGCUUUGAACUUUGAAGAAGUUGCCUUCCAUUUUCCAUUUUCCAAAGGCUUCGAUAAAGUCGGUGAAAGCAGCUUAAUGGCAAUUGAUGUGAAAGCUUUGGAUAAGAUUUUUCCAUUUGCUGCAUUAAUCUCAAUUCGCCAUGCAUGUGAAAGGUCUCCGUUUCAGUAUUAUUUUAACAAGGGAAAAUAUCCACCGUCCACCUAUUUUCAAAAAUACACAAUUCCUUCAUUUUUUGGCUGGAAUCCACCUAAAGUUACAUUUUUUUUUCACUUUUCCACUUCCGUUUGGAAUCCGUUAAGAAAACUAACGGAAACUUAAAAAAAUGACUAUUUUACCCCCAAAACGA